RNAcentral lists this small nucleolar RNA (109 nucleotides) under Dasypus novemcinctus (nine-banded armadillo). Its description in RNAcentral is "Small nucleolar RNA SNORA44 (ENSDNOG00000030075.1)". It matches the Rfam family "Small nucleolar RNA SNORA44". Rfam says of the family: ACA44 is a member of the H/ACA class of snoRNA that guide the sites of modification of uridines to pseudouridines. The record is from RNAcentral. Lineage: Eukaryota; Metazoa; Chordata; Mammalia; Cingulata; Dasypodidae.
CAGCAUCAAUAGCUCCAACUCUCCAACUGCAUGCGAGAGCAACCUGGAGAGACUUUGACAGCUCAAGUCAGCGGAGUACCUGUAGCUGCCACUCAACUUUCCUAUAAUG